Molecule: ribosomal RNA, 522 nt
Filed under: Sanfilippodytes setifer
Lineage: Eukaryota; Metazoa; Arthropoda; Insecta; Coleoptera; Dytiscidae
Description: SSU rRNA
Rfam family: Eukaryotic small subunit ribosomal RNA
Source: RNAcentral
UUAUGGUUCCUUAUAUCGUACCCACACUUACUUGGAUAACUGUGGUAAUUCUAGAGCUAAUACAUGCAAACAGAGCUCCGACCGGAGACGGAAGGAGUGCUUUUAUUAGAUCAAAACCAAUCGGCGGCGGGCGCGUUCGCGCGUCCGUUCGCCGCUCAACCUGGUGACUCUGAAUAACUUUCGGCUGAUCGCACGGUCUCGCACCGGCGACGCAUCUUUCAAAUGUCUGCCUUAUCAACUGUCGAUGGUAGGUUCUGCGCCUACCAUGGUCGUAACGGGUAACGGGGAAUCAGGGUUCGAUUCCGGAGAGGGAGCCUGAGAAACGGCUACCACAUCCAAGGAAGGCAGCAGGCGCGCAAAUUACCCACUCCCGGCACGGGGAGGUAGUGACGAAAAAUAACGAUACGGGACUCAUCCGAGGCCCCGUAAUCGGAAUGAGUACACUUUAAAUCCUUUAACGAGGAUCAAUUGGAGGGCAAGUCUGGUGCCAGCAGCCGCGGUAAUUCCAGCUCCNAUAGCGUA